Long non-coding RNA from Conger conger (European conger), 1354 nucleotides. RefSeq lists it as uncharacterized. The transcript is spliced from 4 exons. The record is from RefSeq and is a predicted model, not a curated record. NCBI's taxonomy places the organism in Eukaryota, Metazoa, Chordata, Actinopteri, Anguilliformes, Congridae.
GACAACAAACCUCCUUUCAGAAUACAUUCUUUGUUGCUGCUGCACAAUCGAUAACGCUACCUACGUGCGGUCCAAUUUUAUGCGCUAGCUAGGGUACAGAACCUUCCACGAGGGAAUUCGCUUUUUCGCAAGAACAUAACGUUACAAGUUUGGUUAGCUCGGAAUGACACUCGGUAAAUGAGGUAUCCUGCAAACGCAUCCGAUUUAAAUUUAGGGAAGACCACCACCAAAUCAGUAAUUACACGCAACCAAUUAAUGAAAAUUCGGAUUUGCCAUAAACACGAAAAUUGUUCACUUUAUACAUAGCCAGAAAACCAAAGAAUGAGCGAAAGUGAAAUGCAACACUGAAAAUGUUAGCUAGUUAGCUAUAUUGAAUAAAAACGAUGGUAGCUGUACCAGUUUGCCGAUUGGCACUUGCUGAUGCCUCUGACCUCAGACCCUAAAAUGGCAUCUUGCAUUGAAAAAUAAACGAAAAUGGCGUCUAAUAACUGCAGGACUAAACCGAGGAAACGCGCUCAAACAGGGGUGCCUGGUGAAGUGGCUGGAGGUUCGCUGCGUCUGCCCCAUGUGCAACGAGCCCACCGCCGGCCGCCCAGGGCAGAGGCACAGCCUCGGGACGCUGCUGGACGAGCUGGUGUAGAGACACGCCGCAUCCACGCCAAUGGUACACCGCCGGCGAACAAAUCAGACACGCCAGCAACGAGCAAGAACGCGGAACAACCCUCUGGGCGGAGACCCCACACUGGCGACGAGUAAGGAGAACGCGGGAAGAACAGGCUGUCAAGAAAGCUUUUUAAAAAAACUCUGGGAACUGAGGCUUACGAUGUGGACAGUGGGACUCAACCAAAUGAGAUUGAAAUGUUCCUCUGACAGCGGCAGUUCAUCUAGUUCAUACAACACAUUUGAUGAACCUUGAGUCUGGAUGCAAGGGAUUACAAAUAAAUGUAAUUUACAGGAUGUUCCUGUUCAGGCUUGUGGACAUGAAGGAAAUUGGAACUAAUAUGGCAGUGCAAUUAUAUAUGUACAAUGACCAUGGGUCUCAGGGCGUGGAGGGCCACAAACCAGCUCUAUCUCACAAUGCACUGCCAUUCGUGUGUCUGACUGUAAAAGAAAAGAUGUGCAGAUUGAGGAGUCUCCUAAUAAAGGUUAUCCAGGCACGAUGGAGGGAAGGUCUUGGAGGUAGGCGAACAGUCCCGCCACACGGAGCAGCGAGGAACAGGAUUGGUUCAACAGGGGCGACCCUUAGUGACGAAAAAAUGAGUGGUAAAAGUGCCUGACAUUAGUAACUCACACAUUUCUGUUACCUCUUCAUAUACAGCAUUAAAUGGAAAUAAAACCCUUUUGUUUCAUUGUG